GUUCAUCAAGAUUUGGGUACAGCGGCAUGGAAGUUAGGUUAGGACAACCAUAUAUAGAUAAAAAAGAAAGACAAGGAAAUGAAGAAGCUGAAGCUGAAGCUGUUUCAUUCCUCCACCAUCCCUUGAGAUUAGGGCAUAUUCUUAGAUAAAGACUCUCUAAGGAGGGAAAGAAGGUCGUCGAUGGAGAAGCAGCUGACAUCAUCAUCACAUCACCGGCGCCGGCAAAGUCCUUGACCUUGUCUUCUGCAGAUAUGUGCUCCAAAUUCCUUAACCCGAAAAGAUGAAGACUCUUAAGAAAAGGUAAAUGAUCCAACGGUGGAAGAUGUUGGCAUCUAUCACAGUUAGACAAUAUGAGAUUAACAAUAUUUGUGAGAGAAUGAAACCAACUCGCAAACCUCACACCCGGGUAUCUGUUCACGACUAACUCUUUUAGACUCGAAUGGGGCUGCAGCGCUUCCAUUGACUUAAUAAUUACAUCAUUCUCCUCCGCAUCAUUAUUUUCUCUUUCAAUGUGCAUCCAAUAUAAAGUCAACGAAUAGAGAUGUCGUUUCUCCUUCAAAACUGCACAAUCAUAAUUCAAUUCUGACACCAUAUCUUGCUCGCACCUCAAAUUCAUGAUUUUCAACUCUCCUCUUAAAUCCUUCAACUUUCCCAACUCACUGAGCCCUGCACCGUCCCUCAACAUGGAUUUGUUUUCACUCAAAACAAAUGUAUUCAAAGUACGAACAUGAGUCAAUUCACCCAAUCCACGAGGAAUCCAAGCCAAGUUGUCACAAUUUGCCAAAAUGAGAUGCCUCAAGUUGAUCAAUUUCUUAAUAUCUCUAGGCAAUUCCACAAGCACCCGACAACAAUUGAGAUCUAGUGUUUCCAAAUUUUGAAGUUUCACUAUCCAAUUUGGAAGUCUCUUAAUGGGAUUUCCACUAAGAUCAAGAUAUCUUAAAUGUUUCAGUUUCCUAAGACAUUUUGGCAAUUUUGUAAUUCCCAAUUUAUUUAAACUCAACAUACGCAAUGACUUAAAAUUUGAAGCAAUUGUAGCACAAAAUGAUGUACGGAAUGACAUCUCCCACUCCUUUUGGCUUAGGAAAAGAAAAGUCCUUAGCUUAUUUGAUUCCAGCAAGGAUGUUGGUAUUUUCCAUUCCAACGAAUCAACAUGAAAAUUGAAAGAUACAUGAAGAAGACGUUUUGCAUCAAAAUUAGUCUUAUUGCGAUCUAUUAUUGUGCUUCCCUCCCCUGCCACUUUAACAGCAAGUUCAUUCAUGAGAUCAUGCAUUUUACAGCUUUUUAUUAUACCAAACUCAUCUUUUUCUUCUUCUUGGAAAAAAGAUCUCCAAACUAGUUCGUUAUAAUAUUCAUAACCAACAUCUUCCAAGCACUCAUUAGGAUUUGAAGACUUAACGAACCCUUGUGCCACCCACAACCUAAUUAAAUUCUCUGCGGGAAUCUCAUAAUCAGGCGGGAACAAACUACAAUAAGCAAAACAAUGUUUCAAAUGUGAUGGGAGAACAUCAUAACUCAGCUGAAGUGUUGGUAAAAUAUCAUUUUCUUCUUGCCUUAUUGUUGAAAGCUUGUUAUUCAUGAAAUCCGACCACUCAGUUUCUGGAUCUCUAGUGUACAACAUCCGUCCUAUGGUCCUUAUAGCAAGAGGAACCCCCUGACAUUUUCUAGCAAUCUCCUCCCCAAUCGCCUUAAUGGUUGAACUCUCUGGCUCUUUUCCUUCUUGGAAUGCCAUUUUCUUAAACAAAUACCAAGACUGCUCUUCACUUAAACCCCUUAAGUUAUAUGGUUUAGAUGUGUCUGUUAUUUUUGCAACUUUUUCACUACGAGUAGUUAUUAGUAUUUUACUACCUUUUCCACCGCCCAUCAAUAAGUUUUGCAAGCCAAACCAUUUUUCACGAUUAUCAUUCCACACAUCGUCCAACACAAGGAGGUAUCUCUUCCCAUCUAUUAUUUUCCUCAGUUCUUUUUGCAACUGAUCAAUCUCAAGGCUUUUGGCUAUGUCAUUAGUUGCAGAUUGAAUGAUUUUCUUAACAAUUAUAUCCAACUCAAAUACAUUUGACACACAUAUCCACAUUUUCAGCUCAAAAUGCUUCUCAACCUUCUCAUCGUUUAAAACUAGUUGAGCAAGUGUAGUUUUUCCCAAUCCUCCAAAUCCAACUAUGGAAAUCGAUGAGACAUUCUUUGUAGGGAUGGGAUCCAAAUCCAACAAAAGUUGAAUAAUUGCUCUUUUGUCUUCAUCUCUCCCUAUUAUAUUAUCCUCGCGGACAAAUGAGUGGGUGACCCUCUCUCUUAUUACAAAUCGUGCAUCUUCGUGGUUCACUUGUAAUUGACCAAAUGUUCUAUUCGAGGCAAUCUCAUGAAGUCUCUUGUUAAGAUCUUUUAUCUUAUGACCCAUUUUCAGCCCAAAAACAAGCUGAUUUGAGCUAGAGAAGAAGAUGCGUACCUGCUUUGACACUUUAUUAUUUCCAGGCACCAUUUGUCUCCACUGAGCUUCAGUAUAAAACUCAUCGAGCACGUCAUCAGCUUCAUAAACUUCAUCUUCUACGCUUUGGAGCCACUCUUUGACUGCUUCAUUGUUGGCUUGCUUUUGCUCAGCAUCAAGAAGAACAGCUCGGAGUUGGGAAACUAGAAGCUUAAGCUUUUGGAGCUCAUCGUUGACACCCCAAACCAAUCCAAUCUCUUCAAAAGCACGGGAGCCUAACCUUUCAAUGAUCCCUUGUACAAUGUUGAAGAGGACUCCUUCUGCCAUUGGAGAGAGGAAAAGAGUAUUCACUUGGAGAAAGGAAAAGAGUAUUCUUGCCGAAAGUUGUGGUUUGUUGAUAAGAGUUAUUUGGUGUGGAACAGGAAGUGGAGCAAGAGUAUUAACAAGGGACAAAAGAAACAUGCAUCAAAUCACAUGGGAAAGCUUUGAAUAGUGUGGAACAAGUGGAGCAAGAGUAUUAACAAUUGGACAAAGGAAAGAGGAAACAUGCAUCAAAUCACGUGGGAAAGCUUUGAAUAUUUGGUGUGAAACAGCAAGUGGAGCAAGUUGAAGAAAUGUUUGACUCAAAUAUGCUUUCGGUGGUUUUGACAUUAUUUUAAUGAAGGAGUCUAAUUGUAUAGCCGUUGGUGUUGUUCUGUUUGAGAAAUAAGCAAUUCUUUCUUUCUCCUUGUUUAUUGUUUCCAAGUGACUCUUGCUGCAGUUUUGGUUUCAAUUCCUAUAGAUGCCAGCUAUCUACUUUUUAUAUUAAAUUACUAAUACUAUACAAUAUCAUGUAAGCCAGUUAUGUUUAGCAUACUUUUACAUUAUAAUUAAGAUAUCAACAACGACAUAAUGUGUGCAAUUAAUAUUUUAUUGGAUUAAUAAUAGGUUCCCACCACAAUGGUGGUGGAUUACCAGAGAAGGCCAUCAUGUAACUCUUUCCCUCUCCCAGACCAACAGCAUGGGUUGGUUUCUGUCGAAUAGGGAGUGAGAGACCUACACAUUCUUCUACACAAACCCACCCAACUCCCAAAAAAUAUGGGCAAAUAACACUUUUCCUCAAUAAUCUCAAAAUGCCAGCUGGCAAAACAGUACUUUUCCAUGCUGGCAUCAUCUUCCACGUGUCAGACAGUGACUCCUCAAUUCCCCUGCCACAUUGGCUCUCUAUUUUGGCUUUGGUAGGGCACAUGAAAUUGCUUAGUCCCUGGUAGAUAGAUGUCAUCAUAGUUGGAUUUGGGACCAAGCAAUGUAUAAUGGUGUUAAUUAAUUCCUCUGUUUUGUAAAUGGGUUCUUUCUUGAGUGCAUGUUCAUAGAAAAACAAAAUGUAAAAUUACUUUUGUAACAAACAAUAAAUUUAAAAAAAAAGAAGAGAAAAGAAAAGAACUAUUAUUACUUUGCACUUAUGCCAAAAUGCCCAAAGCCAAUGUGGGUUGUAUAUAUGUAGGGACUAGGGAAUAGCAAAUACUUAAUGAAGAAAUGCUUCACAAUGAAAUGAUGCACAAAGAUUAAAGAAAUAGAGACAAACUCAUGUAAAACACAAAAAAGAGACCAUUAUGUAAAUUGAUUUAAGCUAAGAUCCGUUAAGUGUGGAAGUGGAACAUCCCAACUAAAAAUAAAAAAUAAAAAUCUUUUAGGUUUAGCUAUUGUUUCACAUACGAAAGACUAUUUUGUAUAAGUAAAACUAAAUAAACGAGUAAGUAACCAAAAUCCUAAAAUAUGUCUAUAAAUACCUUAAAAUUUCUUCAAAAAUUUUCCCCAUCAUUUCAUUCCACAUUUUUUACAAAUUCUAUCACAUUCUCUACUUGUUACCAACUUUCCACACACAAAAAUACUAACAAAAAUAGCACUGGGCUUUGGGAACACAUCUCACAAAAAUACACAGAUGAAGUUGUGAGAUAUUGAAUCGAAAACACUUUAUUUAUUGACAUUUGAAGAUGAAGGUAAGAGGUGCCACGUCGACAAAGAUCUAAUCGAAAAUCUGGAUAAUUGCUCCCGGACUAACACGUGUCACUUGAAAAUCAUAUCCAAAAAAUUAUUAAGCUUCCUUCAAGAUAAGACUUGCUACGUGGACACAAAAUCUUUAUAAAAAAUCUUGUUAAUUGCUUGUCAAUGUACACGUGUCAUAUAUGGAAUAUUGUAUUUAAAUAGUAGUUUAAUUAAAUUAAACAAUACAAAGUUGUGGAAUAUAUAAGUGUUGUACCAUAGUUUUUCUCAAAAUAAUAAAAUACGAAAGGCCCUAAAAUAUAGCUCUGACCAGAGAUGGAAAAAUUUAAUCAUACCCUAUUUUUUUUAAAAUUAAAUUUAUAGCUCUAAAUUACGUUUAGCCCUAACUGGAGAUGGCAUAAGAAGCCAAAAACCAUGAAAGAAAGUGAAGAGAUUCAAACGUACAAUGAUGUUUCCAUGUUGGUAAAGUUAUCAACUUUGCAAUUAUUUAUUCAAUAAUUAUUAGUGGGUGAUUGCUGAUUAAUCAACCAAAGAGGAAAAGUACCAAACUGAAGCCUGAAGCCAUGACAUGGACACCAUUGAAUAAUUUGGAUAAUUGGAAGUUGUGUCAAAAACAAAAACGCAGAAAAAAUAAACCCCACCAGCCUCCUUACAGGCUCCAGCUGUGCCUUCUGUUUCUGUUUGGCCAAUGGCUUUUUAGUGGGGAUGAUAAGAUAGCUGAUCCAGUGUUUGGACGUGGCAGAGAAUAUAUGUUGUCGUAAUAACAUUUAUCUGGGAACACCUAUUUAUAAUACAGUGCUGCAUUCACUUGUUGAGGCUAAGGAAGUAGGUGUUUUCAUCACCAUUGGUUUUCACAGCACGGAUCCAGCGACCUGCCAUUUUGUUUUCUCUGCAUAUGCCAACAGUGGUUUUCACAGCACGGCCAUGGAAGCACUGCAGGUUUUGAGUAUGCGCAUGAUAUGUGAAGAAGAUGGCAGCUUUCCAGAAAGGCAGAAUUUGAGGAUGACUUCAUCUUUGCUGAAGACUUGGAAGCUGAAUCACGAAUAGUACAGCUUGUUAAAGAUUCUGAAGAGAACCUUGCUGUUGCCCUUUUGAAUCUAAGAUGGUGCGCUGUGCUUGGCUUCCCAAUUUCAUGGUCACCUAAUCAAAGCCCAUGGGCCAGAAGACUGUCAUCUAACUACACUGCCAGGAAAGGAGCCACCUAAUCAUGAUAUAUAUAGGUGGCAUUAUGACUCCAGUGAGUUUCCCUUUAUUAUUAUUUUUGGUUGUGGUCGGACGAAGCCCAAGGCCUCCUCAGGAAGAAGGCAGAGGGUGAGAGGCACAGAUGAGGUCUUGAUCUUUUAUAGCUGAUUUUUUAGAUUUGUAUUAGGCUAGGAUAUUUGAGAAAAUUAGGGGAUGCCCUUUUAUCUUUUUUGGUUCAUUACGUUAUUUUGUAAGCUACUGCUUUGUAUAUUUAAAAGGUGAAAUCGUGCUGCAGUUCUCUAAACAGGAUCAACUGUGCCUAGGAGGAGGCGGCGGCAUGUUUUGCUGUUAAUUUAACAAAAAAAGCACAAAAAAGCAUUGAUAUUUUCUUUAUGCUUUUAUUCUUUAGCAAGUAUGCUUUGACCGCUAUCUUCUGUUGUCAUUGUACUUUUGUUAUGGUUCAAAUCAGUGAUGCCGGUGCGGUAUGAAUCCGCCAGGGAGGAGGCAUUUUCUCCACAGCAUAGAAUGAGUUGCUCUCCUCUAGGGAGGGAGAGAAGGGUGCUGCUGGCAAGUUCUUUAAAUAUUCUCUUCCGAUCCACAUCUAGGGGUUGAUUUUAUCAUUCACAAUUUAUGGAUUAAACAACAUUACAAAUUAUAGUUGUUCAUGACGAGUUUUCAUAUUUUUUUGUAUGAAAACGAUAAUUGGAUUAAUUAACAAGAUGAAUGUUAACAUCUCUUAAUUUAAACAACCAAAUUAUCACUCAAUCAUUAACUAAAGUACAACCAAAAGAUGAAUACUGAAGGGAAUUAACCUCAUUCUUGGCAGAUGAAUCUGAAAUUUAAUUCAUAAAUAUCAGCCAUCAUGACAAAAUACAAACUGCUUUCACAAUGUCAAAAGCCAUAAGGAAACUUGAGAGUUACAAGUACAACUGAGUCACUUGUAUGAUCAAAGUCAGGAUGCCUAAUCAGUUUCUUCUUUUAAUCACUGCAUAUCCAUAAAAGAAAAAUAAGAAACAGAACCGAAUGUUAUUAUCAUGUGAACAUACCAACAACAAAACAAUGUUAGGAUCAAGGGGUCAUCAUCUAAUACAUACCUACCACAUUUUUGGUGACCUGCUGUUGCACAAUCACAAUCAAGCCAUAAGAGUUUUUAGUGGGGAUCCAAUCUCCACUGAACCAACCAUUAAAAUUCACAACCUCAAUCUGAAAAAGAAGAAAAUGAACAAGUUGAGGUUGGUUGCCGUUUGAAUGAAAGUGUGAAUGCAAAAGAAAGAAAUUAGUUAGAAAAACGCACCAAUGCUAAUGUCUGGGAUGUGAGCAAUCUUGGACCAGUCCUCACCUGUUUCUUUCUGGCAUCUUUGCUUUAAGAUGGGGCAACUCUCAAUUAUCAACCUUUUUAAUGAGACGAGGCAACGAAGCCCUUCCGGGAGUGAUGCCAAAUUAGGACACUUUGAAAUAUGAAGUCUCUGUAAGGAGAUGAGGCGACCCAUCCCUUGAUCUGGUAGUGAUACCAAAUUAGGACAAUCUUUAAUUUCAAGCUUCUCAAGUAAUGUGAGGUUUCCAAUCCCUUCUUCUGGCACAUAUUCUAUAUCCUCAACGCCCCUAAUCUCUAGAUAUUUUAAUUUGUAAGAGGGAACAAAGGAGGAGGGAAGGACCUUCCAGCUGCUUUUCUGUAACCACAGUUCAUCAAGAUUUGGGUACAGCGGCAUGGAAGUUAGGUUAGGACAACCAUAUAUAGAUAAAAAAGAAAGACAAGGAAAUGAAGAAGCUGAAGCUGAAGCUGUGUCAUUCCUCCACCAUCCCUUGAGAUUAGGGCAUAUUCUUAGAUAAAGACUCUCUAAGGAGGGAAAGAAGGUCGUCGAUGGAGAAGCAGCUGACAUCAUCAUCACAUCACCGGCGAAGUCCUUGACCUUGUCUUCUGCAGAUAUGUGCUCCAAAUUCCUUAACCCGAAAAGAUCAAGACACUUAAGAAAAGGUAAAUGAUCCAACGGUGGAAGAUGUUGGCAUCUAUAACAGUCAAACAAUGUGAGAUUAACAAUAUUUGUGAGAGAAUGAAACCAACUCGCAAGCCUUGCACCCGGGUAUCCGUUCACGUCUAACUCUUUUAGACUCGAAUGGGGCUGCAGUGCUUCCAUUGACUUUAUAAUUACAUCACUCUCCUCCGCAUCAUUAUUUUCUCUUUCAAUGUCCAUCCAAUAUAAAGUCAACGAAUAGAGAUGCCGUUUUUCCUUCAAAACUGCACAAUCAUAAUUCAAUUCUGACAUCAUAGUUUGCUCACACCUCAAAUUUAUGAUUUUCAACUCUCCUCUUAAAUCAUUUAGCUUUCCUAACUCACUGAGCCCUGCACUGUCCCUCAACAUGGAUUUGUUUUCACUCAAAACAAAUGUAUUCAAAGUACGAAGACGAGUCAAUUCACCCAAUCCAUGAGGAAUCCAAGCCAAGUUGUCACAAUUUGCCAAAAUGAGAUGCCUCAAGUUGAUCAAUUUCUUAAUAUCUCUAGGCAAUUCCACAAGAAACCGACAACAAUUGAGAUCUAGUGUUUCCAAAUUUUGAAGUUUCACUAUCCAAUUUGGAAGUCUCUUAAUGGGAUUUCCACUAAGAUCAAGAUAUCUUAAAUGUUUCAUUUUCCUAAGACAUUUUGGCAAUUUUGUAAUUCCCAAGUCAUUCAAACUCAACAUACGCAAUGACUUAAAAUUUGAAGAAAUUGUAGCAUAAAAUGACUUAUGGAAUAACUUGUCCUGCCACCUUUGUCUUAGGAAAAGAAAAGUCCUUAGCUUAUUUGAUUCCAGCAAGGAUGUCGGUAUCUCCCAUUCCGACAAAACAACAUCAAAAUCGAAAGAUACAUGAAGAAGAUGUCUUGCAUCAAAAUCAGUCUUGUUGCGAUGUAUUAUUCUGCUUCCCUCCCCUGCCACUUUAACAGCAAGUUCAUUCAUGAGAUCAUGCAUUUUACAGCUUUUUAUUAUACCAAACCCAUCUUUUUUUUCUUCUUGGAAAAAAGAUCUCCAAACUAGUUCGUUAUAAUAUUCAUAACCAACAUCUUCCAAGCACUCAUUAGGAUUUGAAGACUUAACGAACCCUUGUGCCACCCACAACUUAAUUAAAUUUUCUACGGGAAUCUCAUAAUCAGGUGGGAACAAACUACAAUAAGCAAAACAAUGUUUCAAAUGUGAUGGGAGAACAUCAUAACUCAGCCUAAGUGUUGGUAUAAUAACAUCUUCUUCUUGACUUAUUGUUGAAAGCUUGUUACUCUUGAAAGCCAACCACUCAGUUUCUUGAUGUUUAGGGUACAACAUCCGUCCUAUGGUCCUUAUAGCAAGAGGAACCCCCUGACAUUUUCUAGCAAUCUCCUCCCCAAUGGCCUUAAUUGUUGAACUAUCUGGCUCUUUUCCCUCUUUGAACGCCAUUUUCUUAAAUAAAAACCAGGACUGCUCUUCAUUCAUGCCCCUUAAGUUAUAUGGCUCAGCUGUAUCUGCUAUAUUUGCAACUUUUUUACUACGAGUAGUUAUUAGUAUUUUACUACCUCUUGCACCACCCAUCAACAAGUCUUUCAAGUCGUCCCAUUUUCCAUGAUCUUCAUUCCACACAUCGUCUAACACAAGGAGGUAUUUCUUUCCAUCUAUCUUUCCCCUAAGAUUCCUUUGCAAUUGAUCCAUCCUAAGGUUUUUUGGUUCCUCAUUAGUUGCAGAUUGAAUGAUUUUCUCAGCAAGUACAUUCAAUUCAAACACAUUGGAGACACAUGUCCACAUUUUCAGCUCAAAAUGAUUUUGAACCACCUCAUCGUUGAAAACUAGUUGGGCAAGUGCAGUUUUUCCCAAUCCUCCAAAUCCAACUAUGGAAAUAGUUGAGACAUUUUCUGUAGAGAUGGGAUCCAAAUCCAACAAAAGUUGAAUAAUUGCUCUUUUAUCUUCAUCUCUCCCUAUUAUAUUAUCCUCGCGGACAAAUGAGUGGGUGACCCUCUCUCUUAUUACAAAUCGUGCAUCUUCGUGGUUCACUUGUUCUAAUUGAAUAAACAUUCUGUCUGAGGCAAUCACAUGCAGCCUCAGGUUGAUAUUUUUAAUCUUAUGACCCAUCUUCAGCCCAAAAACAAGCUGGUUUGAGCUAGAGAAGAAGAUGCGUACCUGCUUUGACACUUUAUUAUUUCCGGGCACCAUUUGUCUCCACUGAGCUUCAGUAUAAAACUCAUCGACCACGUCAUCAGCUUCAUAAACUGCAUCUUCUACGCUUUGGAGCCACACUUUGACUUCAUUAUUGUUGGCUUGUUUUUGCUCAGCAUCAAGAAGAACAGCUUGGAGUUGGGCAACUUUCUCCUUCAGCUUUUGGAGGUCAUCUUUGACACCCCAAAGCAAAGCAAUCUCUUGGAAAAAAAGGGAGCCUAACCUUUCAAUGAUCCCUUCUGCAACGUAGAAGAGGACUCCUUCUGCCAUUGGAGAAAGGAAAAGAGUAUUCUUGAUGAAAGUUGUGGUUUGUUGAUAGAGUUAUGUGGCGUGGAACAGCAAGUGGAGCUAGUAGAAGAGGAAAUGCCGAAAUGUCAUCUUUGACUAGUUUUGUCAUUAUUUGAAUGGAGGAGUCCAAUUGGUUGGUGACAUGUGUGAUAGCAGUUGGUGUUGUCCACUUUGAGAAAUAAACAAUUCUUUCUUUCUCCUUGUUUAUUGUUUCCAAGUGGAUGGGUCCUUGUUUAUUGUUUAAUGACUUGUGUAUUAUGUGCCGGCUAUCCACUUUCAUAUUAAUCUCUAUUUUUAUAUAAAAUUACUAAUACUAUACACAGUCCUGAUCUCUUGGACCCCUGUAGUCCAAGAGAUUUAUGGUCACCCACCGUUGGAUGUAAAUUCAACGGUUGACUUGAAUCGGGUAAUAAUCAUUUAUGUCAUAUUGCAUUUAUAUAUAUCAUUUUGAACCAUUGGAUUAAUAUCCAACGGUGGGUGACCACUAUCUCUUGGACUCCUGUGGUCCAAGAGAUCGGGACUGAUACUAUACAAUAUCAAUUAUUAUCUGAAAUUUGGUAGUUGGGUCAAUAAAAGAAACUUACAAAAUUUGGUAGUUGGGUCAACAAAUAAAAUUCAGCAGAGAAGGCCACCAUGUGACUCUUUCCCUCUCCCAAACCAACAGCCUGGGUUGGUUUCUGUCCCCUCCUCCUAAAACUGGACCAAUGGGGAGCGAGAGACCUACAGAUCCUUCUACACAAACCCAACCAACUCUCAAAAGAAAAGGGCAAAAUGUUGUAAACUAAAGAGAAAUUGGAGAGGGAAUUGAGAUAGAGAAAGCAUAGAAAUCUGAUGUUUUUCAUUCAUUCAUUUCUAUAUAUUACAACAAAGGGAGGAAGCCCACUUAUAUGCAAAGUCUGUUGGCUUCCUGUGAAUAUGCAAUGACAUCUCCCAAUAUGUGGAUUCCACUUCCACAAUACUUUUAUUAUGAUGUUCUUCAAUCAUUUAGGUAGUGGGCUCUACCAUUUUGGGAUCCAUCCUUGACUGUACAACACUGCCCCUUAGAGACCACAAAUGGUAUGGAAUAUCUUAUAGGGUGCUGACCUUGGUCUCUAUACAAAAGAAAAGAAAAGAAAAGAUCCUGGUCUCUGAACUUUUUGAAUAUCUUAUAAGAGUAAGAGUAGAGUUAGUUGGAUGCUAAUUUAAGAUAUUUAGUUAUGGUUUUCAAUAUUGUAAAUGUUAGGAAGAGCAUUGUUUGAGUUAUGCUUCUUCAUUCUUGUUCUCAUAGGUAAUGAAUAUGUUUGGCUCUAAUAAUAGGAAUCAUGUAACAUGGGCAUAUCAAAACCCGGUAUAGAUGCUAGCAGAGGGCAGCAUGAUAGAAGUAUCAAUGAGGAUCAAUGUUUUAAAUUUGUGGAACGCCUCUUGGCGAGGCGGUUGGAAUUUGCCUCGGGGCGCAGCUACUUAUGCGAAAGUCACCAAAAGACUGAGUCAUACGCCUUUCUUCGAGGCUUAUGCAUCCCCUUAGAGGCGUAAGCCUUUUAGAAAAACAAUGUCAUCUGGCCUGGGAUUCCCAACAUAAAAAAUAAAAUAAAUUACCAUUUUGGCAUCUCUAAGGUGAUUUUCUAGUGUUUUCUCCCGCAACAUAGUGGCUAGAACCACAGUUACUGAAUUCGAGAUGGAGUGGGAGAGCCAUAGAGAGAGAGAGAGAGAGUCGUGGGAGCUUUGAAAUUGGGUCAGAAGUGGAGAAGAAGACAUUCAAUUUUUUCUUUUCCAGUUGAAAGUGCUUGGGCCUCGUUUGGUUCUUGGGAAAGGAGGCUUGGGGAUGGGAAAUCAAUUGUUUUCCCAUGUUUGGUAAGUCCAAACAUGAGAAAUGGUUGCCUGCCUGGCACAUAGGAAAAUAGAGGGGAAAGUGGAGCCCUCCUCCCAACUUGGGUUUUGUUUUCCCUCAUCAUGGGAAAGUUUGGGAAAAUGAGCCAACCUUCAUGCACAUUUUUCAUAACCAUUUUGUCCCCUUUAACAAUUUAGAAUUACAAAAUAUCAUUAAAUGCACUCUUUUUUAUUUGAUUUAAUAUGGGUAUAAUUGAAAAAUUAUACAAACUUUGUUUUCCAUUCUUACUCAAAACAUACAAACAUAGGAAAGGAAAUAAAGUGAAAUCUCCCGGUUACUUUCCCGGCAUUACCAAACGUGAGAGGAAUCUUUCAUUUCCUAUUCCUUAGGAAAUGAUAUAGAAAGUGAUUUCCCCUCAAAUUCGUUCCAUGAACCAAACGGGGGCUUGGAGCAGAGGAGAUGAUUAAAGAGCUGAUCCAGUAUUUGGACGUGGCAGAGAAUAUUUUUUGUCAUAAUAACAUAUCUGGGAACGCCUAUUUAUAAUACAGUGCUGCAUUCACUUGUUGAGGCUAAGGAAGUAGGUGUUUUCAUCACCAUUGGUUUUCCUUUCAUUUGCAACUUCAUGAUAUGUGAAAUAUUGGACCAGUGUUCAUCUACUUUCUGCUUCUGAUUACAUGCAGAGUCAAAUGGCAAUUAAGAUAUUAAAAAAUUUGAAGUCAUUUGGUUUCCCGGCAGAUUCUGUGACUUAUCAUAUAAUGAUUGAUUGUUGUAGCAUUCUAGGAUGUUACAGAUCUACUUGCGCAUUGGUGUCCAUGAUGUUGUGAGAUGGCUUUUAUCCACUAACAGUGACUUAUACCAUUCUCAUAAAGGUAGCUUUAAUAUUAUGAUUACUCAGUCUGAAUUAUCAUGCAUCUUAGGAAACUGCUACCGUUUAUGUAUGUGAUCGAAAAGUGUACUUUUUCGAGCUCUUGAUGUGCAAACUAGUCAUAUUUUAGUUCUGCUUUGUUUACAUAAAAACCCCUUCCUUCAUCCUUCAUCCUUUUUUUUUUUCCUCCUGACUAGAGUAUUUGCAAAGUUUAGAUGUUUGUAAAGAUAUUUAAGUGAAGACAAUUAGUAAGUUCAUUUUUUUUUAAAUAAAAAAGAAAACAAAAGGAAAGUUACAUUUUUGUCUUCUCUGAAAUAUAAGUAAUUUAAUACAAAAUUAGUGAAAUACCCAUUUCUAGACAUGAAACUAUAAAUAUACCCUAUACCAUUUAAUCUUUAUAAAUAUACCCAAAAAUAAACAAUUGUAUAUUUUUUAAUUUAAUUAAUAAGAUGAAAUACCUUUAUAACCCUUUUUAGCAAGCCCCUCUCCUCCUUCAAACCCUCGCAUCUCCUCUGUUCUCUCCCUUCCCUCUCUCUGCCUUCAAAGUAAGCCAAACAGUCUCAGAGCCAUGGACCAACACAAGACCAACGAAAAUCCUCCCUCGUCACACCGUUGACAAUCUCCGUUACGUUGGUGGGCUCAAAUGUGUUCUCGUAGACGAUGCCUCCAUUUCCUUUGCAGGUUUGUUCCAUCUGCUUCAAUUCGUUAAGUUCCUUUUUAUUUUUGCUUAAUUUACUUGAAUUUCGACUUGAUUUCAGUUUCUUCGUUGAAUUUGGUGCUAAUUUUCAUUUUUUAUAUGAACAGAGCUAAUGGUUAAGCUCGCAGAAUUCUUUGGCUACUACUGUAGAUUUGAGGUGUCAAUUACCGGAUGAAGGUGUUCAGAACGCCGACGCCGGUGUUGAUUGCGAGAAGAACGAAGAUGAAGACGAUUUCUCUUUCGCACCCGACGGAUCGUCGAUUUCCACGGACGAUAUAUUCCAAAAUGGCCAGAUCCGUCCGGUGUUCUCGAUUUUCUACCAUAAUCUCCUAUUCUCCGAUGCCGACGACGACGAAGCUUCCAGAGCCAAAGGGGCUGCCGCUUCAUCUUCCUAUCUGCGACCAUCAGUGAAUAAGCUUUUCUUUGAAGAGCGGGAUACACCAACCUCGGCAACGUCGUUUUACAACUCAGGAGGUGGACUCGGGUCGUGAUCUAUGAGAUCAACCAGCUUCUAAGUUUGAUCAUCAACACCUUCUACAACAAGAAGGAAACCUUUCUCUGUGAGCUCAUUAGUAAUGCCUCUGAUGUACGUAUUUUCACCUUUUUAUUCUUAUCUUGAUUUAUCAUUUCAGUAUUUUCUAGUAUUUAUUGUAUGAAUCUUUGUGUUUUCUUUUUGUGUUUGGCGUGUGAACGUUUUAAAUUCAACGAUUUAGUUGGUAUGCUUAGGUUAGAAAUCUAAACAUGUUAACUUUUUAUGCUGUGGUUUAUGAUUGUUUCAAUAUUGAAGGAAACUAAUUUAUUUGUUCUUUAGUCAUCGUUACUUUUUUAGUUAAAAGUUUGAGAAUAUUGGGGGUUUUUGACUUAGUUGUUCUCUUAUGGCUUAGAAACACUAGAUGAGAUUUGCUGGAAACAUUUUAUGGAGUUUAGAGAAGAAUCUAGAUAAGGUUUUUUAAUCGUUUCCUUUUGUUUUAAUUUUUGAAGGAUAGUAGCCUCUGGUCAUGCUUAGGGCUACGAAAUUACAGUUAACUUGAAUUAAUUAUACGAUGGUUCCAUUUUGUGCCUAUGAUCCACCAAUUGUGGGAAACAAUUUAUACUGGUGCAAGUCCUUUAGGCAAUGAUUUAGAUGAUGUUCUUGUGUUUACUGGAAAUAUGACAGUUGUAAGACAAACAUCACUAUUCUUUCUUAACAUGUGCUUUCCAUAGAGAGGAAACAGAAAUUUUGAAUAUAGCAUGGGUCCCUUUUUCGCUUAUUUAUAUUUUUGUUUAGUCGUGUUUUUUAGGUUAAAAUUUGAGUUCCCUGAUGUUGAGCAAUUCAAGAGCUACUUGGCCAAUAAUGCUUCUGUGGCAAAUCAGAAUUUAUAAUGACUGCUAGUGAUACACAAACUUGCAAAGUGCAACAUAAGACCAACUAUAUCAUCUUUUGGUUUGAGUGGAGUUUUUGUUUAGGUUGGCCUGCUGUCAUGCUUGCAUUAGUUAUGAACGAACGAUUCUAUUAUUUCUAUUGUUGUAAAUUGUCUUAUGGGCUGGGGCAUAAUUUUCAUUGACUUGGGCAUGUUAUCCUUGGAUGUAAGCAAGAUGUUGUUAACAAUAUAUGAGCUGGAGAGUGGUCACGUGCUUCUCAGUGUAUAAUUCGUGAUUGUUAGUUAGGCUUGUUAGCUAGGCUACUUAGUAGAAGUUGUCAGCUAUAUAAACAUUAGAUUAAGCAUUGCUUUAGUUAAGUGAGAAUUGUAACAGCUUUUCAUAACAGAAAAUACAGAUCUCAUUUCUCUCUCUCUUUCUCUCUCUCUCUCCCUCUCCCUUCGACUUUCUCUGUCAAACACCCAAACCUAACUUUCUUGCCUCCAUGGUUAACAUGGUAUCAGAGCUUCGGCUCUUUGAUUCCUGAUCGUUUUUUGCUUCCGCUCUUCUAUAUCAUAAUCAAUCUCUGAUUGCAUCAAUGGCGAUUCGUUGAAUGCAUAUGUUUUCCUCAAGUCUGAUAUUUCUGCCGAUUUUGCAAGUGUUUGUCGCCAACUUUCUUCGAGCAUUGUUCUUCUUGACUCGAUGAUACAUUCAUCUUUGGUAUGCUGAUUCUGUCCUCAAUUUCAGUUUAAGUUUGAAGCGAUUUCAUUAAAAGCACGAAGCAUGCUCUGUAAUUUCUUGAAGCACGAAGCCGAGUUAUCUGAAGCAAUUUUUCAGUCUUGAAGCACGAAGCAAUUUUUCAAUUCUCUUGAAGCACGAAGCAAUUUCUCUGUUUUCUUGAAGCACGACGUAAUUUCUUGGAUCUGUUUUCUUGGAAGAUCAUCUUUUGAUUUGUUGAAGCAAUUUUUUGAUUCUUUGACUCUAUACUGCCAUGACAAUCACUGCUCCGAAAAUUGAGACUUUAUUAGGUGUUUUGACUAUUAAGUUGAAUGAUGAUAACUUUGUGAAAUGGAACUAUCAAUUGGAGUCUGUUCUUCAAGGAUACGACUUAAAUGGCCAUUUUGAUGGCUCUUCUGUGUGUCCAUCUAAAUACGUUAUCUCUGAGUCAGAAGGAGUCACAACUGAGCUCACUGAGAGCUAUCGUCAAUGGAUUCAAGUUGAUAAAUCCUUGCUAAGUUUGCUUCUUGCAACACUGUCUGAUGAGGCAAUAGAGUAUGUCAUUGGUUGUAAAUCGGCCAGGGAUGCGUGGCUAAGCCUCACUGAUAGAUAUGCCUCUGUUUCAAGAGCUCGUGUCAAUCAACUCAAAACUGAGUUGCACACUAUCCACAAGGGUGGUGAUUCAGUUGAAAAAUUCUUGCUUCGUCUAAAGCACAUACGAGAUCAGUUGGCAGCAGCAGGAUUUAAGCUCUCAGAUGAUGACAUUAUCAUUGCAACUUUAAAUGGAUUACCACAGGAAUUCGACAUGAUCAAGACUGUGCUCAUUGCAAGGGAAACACCUAUAGCUCUUAAGGAGUUCAGAGCUCAGUUGCUGUCUGUUGAAAAGAAUAUUGAAUCCAGAAUGUUAGCAAUGAAUCACUCCAUGACUGGUAUGAUGAGUGUCAGUCCGUUUGAAAUUGGCUCAUCAUCUCAUUCUCAAGAUGCUUCUCAGACUCAGGGUACUGCCUCUACAGUUGGUACCAUCACUCCUCACCCUCAAGCUUCAUUUCCUAUGGGCUUUAAUAGGGAUAAAUCUCAGACCAAUACUUCUCAUGGUGCUUAUCAGUCAUCAGAGUUCUCUCCUUCGUCUUAUCAGCCUAAUAAUACAUCAGGCUCUACCAAUCAGUUUGUUCCUCGCGGUAGAGGCUCUAUCAAUGGUCAAUUCCAUAAUCACAAUAGCAACAGAGGUGGUUUUUCACCAUGGUUCCCUUCUGCUCCGAGAUCACAGGCCAUACCUGAGUGCCAAAUCUGCAAUAAGAGAGGACAUACGGCACCAAACUGUUACUAUAGAAUUCCAGAUAACUCAUCCACACCUAUCCUUGAGUGUCAAAUCUGUGGCAAGAAAGGGCACAUCGCAUUGAACUGUUAUCAUAGAGCCAACUUUGCAUACCAAGGUGCUCCUCCUCCACAGUCUAUUCAGGCUAUGACAACCAAUAUGUCCUAUACUCCAAAUGACCUAUGGAUAGCAGACAGUGGAGCUUCCCAUCACAUGACACCCAAUGUGCAUCAAUUGCAAGCGUCUGCCCCUUACUCUUCUGAAGACAAGAUUACUAUAGGCAAUGGGGAAGGUCUGAGCAUUGACCAUAUUGGCCAUUCUAUUUUAUCCGCCUUACCAGGCACUUUACACUUAAAUAAAGUGUAUCAUGUUCCUAAACUUGCAGCCAAUCUGUUAUCUGUGUAUCAACUAUGCAAGGAUAAUAACUGCAAUGUUAUUUUUUAUGAGUAUCACAUAUACGUGCAGGACAAGCAAACCCACAGGAUUCUGUACAAAGGUCAGAGUGACAAAGGGCUCUAUCCCAUUCCACAAGUUCAUCCUCAACUUUCACAAAUUCACAAGUCACCCUUGGAUUCUUCAAUUUCUGUCAUAGCAAAUAAAGAUGCAGCCAACAAUAAAGCCUUGUCUCUACCUCCAGCAGCACAAGGGAAUUCAAGACCUCAUGCACUCUUGGGUCAACAAGUCAAAACCAAGCUGUGGCAUCUUCGACUGGGCCAUUCUUCCAAUGAUGUUCUUCAUCACAUGUUAAAGGUUUCUAAUAUUCCUUUGUCUGUUGAUUCCACAACUGAGAUGUGUGACUUUUGUUUACAAGGCAAAAUGCACAAAUUGCCUUUUUCUUCCUCUUCUACCACUAGUCUUAGACCAUUUACUAAGCUGCAUACAGAUGUUUGGGGCCCUUCCAAUGUUGCAGCUCUAGGUGGUUAUAGAUACUUUCUCACCAUUAUAGACGAUUGUACACGCUACAUGUGGGUAUUUCCCUUGAUCAAUAAAUCAGAAGUUUCAUCUGUUUUCAUAAAGUUUCAUGCCUAUAUUGUGACUCAUUAUCAAGCUCAAGUUCAGUUUUUGCAAUCUGAUGGUGGUGGUGAAUAUAUUAGUCACAUGUUCAAAGAUUUUCUAGCUUCUAAAGGCAUUCUUCAUCAGCUCUCUUGUCCUUAUACUCCUCAGCAAAAUGGAUUGGCUGAGAGGAAGAAUAGGCAUCUUAUUGAGACUACUCUUGCUCUAUUAACUACAGCUGGGCUAUCUCUUCCCUUUUGGUUUUAUGCUGUGAAUCACGCAGCAUUCCUGAUCAAUCGCAUGCCAAGUCGAGUUCUUAAUAUGCUAUCUCCAUAUUAUAAGUUGUUUGGUGGCCAUCCAGAUUUACUAUCUCUCAAAGUCUUUGGGUCUGCAGUGUAUCCUUUGCUGCGUCCCUAUAAUGCUCACAAGCUUGAACCACGAUCUCAUAAAUGUAUUUUCUUGGGGUAUUCCAUGGGAUAUAAGGGAGUACUGUGUUAUGAUCUGAGAACUCAUAAGGUUCUCAUUUCUAGACAUGUUAUACACAAUGAAGAUGUGUUUCCAUGUAAGACAACCCAAGUUUCGACUCAAAAUCAAGAUCAGUCCUCACUGUCAACCUCUACCUCUCAAUCUACACCAGUGACUGUUAUUUUGGCUUCCAUGCCUCAGAAAUCUCCAUCUGCAUAUGUGCUUAAUUCCUCUACAUCAUCCACCAAUUCUUCUUCAUCUCCAGUUCAUGAUAAUCAGAUGCUGCCAGUUUUCACAGAUGCACAAUUAGAAGUUCUACUUCCUCUUGAGUCUGCAUAUGCACUUAUGGACAAUUCAGGACCACUUCCUGCGCAGGUGCAUCCUGCAAGCCCUAUGAAUAAUCACCCAAUGCAAACUCGUUCCAAGUCUGGUAUUGUGCAAUCCAAGCAAUUCCCAGAAUUUUCCAGCUUUCAUACACAGUUAACUUCCAUUUCAGAACCAGACACACCAUCCUAUUUUAAACAAGCUCUUGGUCAUCCAGCAUGGAAACAAGCCAUGACAGAAGAAAUUCAAGCUCUUGAUCAACAAGGAACCUGGACUCUUGUUCCUCCUCCUCCACAUACAAAUAUUGUGGGCUGUAAAUGGAUCUUUAAGAUCAAAAAGAAUGCAGAUGGCACUAUCUCUCGCUAUAAGGCCAGAUUAGUUGCUCAGGGAUUCAGUCAAGAAUAUGGGUUAGAUUAUGAGGAAACCUUCAGUCCUGUGGUACGUCAUACAACGGUGCGUCUCAUUCUUGGUCUAGCUGUCAAUUUUCAGUGGGAAUUACGGCAGCUGGAUGUGAAAAAUGCCUUUCUUCACGGUGAGCUUCAAGAAGAAGUGUUCAUGAAGCAACCUCAAGGCUUUGUCGAUUCUCAAUAUCCUAAUCAUGUGUGCAAGCUUCAAAAAUCUCUCUACGGCCUGAAGCAAGCUCCUCGUGCAUGGAAUGCAAAAUUCACAGGCUAUUUACCUACCUUGGGUUUUUCAGUUUCACACUCUGAUCCCAGCCUGUUUGUGAAGAAAACUGAAUUUGCUGUUGUCAUCCUAUUACUCUAUGUUGACGAUAUAAUAAUCACAGGUUCUGAUCCUUCACUGGUGACAUCUGUUAUUCAAGCUCUUAGUGAAGUUUUUGAGCUUAAAGAUCUGGGAAAGCUCAAAUAUUUCCUUGGUCUUGAGGUGCAAUACCAGGAGGGAAAAUAUUUGUCAAUCAAGCCAAAUAUGCUAGAGAUCUCAUCAAAAAGGCAUCUAUGGAUACAUGUAAGCCUUGUAGCACCCCUUCUAAACCUCACCAUCAGGUCUUAAAGGAUGAAGGUACUCCACUUCCAAAUCCCACACUCUUUCGAAGCAUUGUAGGUGCUUUGCAAUACUUGACAUUCACAAGACCAGACAUUGCUUUUGCUGUCAACACAGUCUGUCAGUUUAUGCAUAGUCCUACAGAUGUUCACCUUAGCCUAGUUAAACGUAUUAUCAGGUACUUGCAAGGCACAUUGCAGUUUGGUGUCACGUUUUCUCCAGGAUCCAUGGUCUUAUCUGGAUAUUGUGAUGCCGAUUGGGCUGGUGAUCCCAAUACUCGCAGAUCCACCACAGGAUAUGUUGUUUUCCUCGGUUCCAAUCCGAUUUCUUGGUCCUCCAAGAAGCAGGCUUCUGUUUCUCGCAGCUCUACAGAAGCAGAAUAUCGAGCACUUGCUCACUGUGCUGCAGAUAUCUCAUGGAUACGACAAGUCUUGUGCGAUUUGCAUAUGAUAGUUCCUGAAGCUCCUCUCCUACACAGCGACAACUUGUCUGCUCUAGCUCUCAGUGCAAACCCUGUUUUUCAUUCUCGCAUCAAACACCUGGAUGUGGAUUUUCACUUCAUUAGAGAGCGUGUUCAAAGUAAAGAUCUCAUUGUCCAAUAUGUUCCCACAGAUGAACAGGUUGCUGAUAUUUUGACAAAAGGCCUUCAUAGUCCAAUAUUCAUCAAACAUUGCUCCAAUCUCAGCCUUGGCUCUUCCCCAGCUGAGCUUGAGGGGGGGUGUUAACAAUAUAUGAGCUGGAGGUGUUAACAAUAUAUGAGCUGGAGAGUGGUCACGUGCUUCUCAGUGUAUAACUCGUGAUUGUUAGUUAGGCUUGUUAGCUAGGCUACUUAGUAGAAGUUGUCAGCUAUAUAAACAUUAGAUUAAGCAUUGCUUUAGUUAAGUGAGAAUUGUAACAGCUUUUCAUAACAGAAAAUACAGAUCUCAUUUCUCUCUCUCUUUCUCUCUCUCUCUCUCCCUCUCCCUUCGACUUUCUCUGUCAAACACCCAAACCUAACUUUCUUGCCUCCAUGGUUAACAGAUGUUAGGUUAAAACAUUCCUUGUUUACUUUUAUUAGUGAUUCCAAAGUGAGAGGUAGAUAAGUCUCAGCAGAAGAACAAGUUCUCAUUUUCUUGAAGUCUUUUCUGAAUGCUCAAAUUUUGCAGUUUUGAUGAGCGUCUUGCUACACAGAGAAAAGAGAAAGAAAUGGCAACAGCCGAACUUGGGUUUAAAAAGCCAUUGAGCAAGGAGGAAAAGAUAGUGAACAAGAAGGAAAGGCUAGCUGCAAUUGGUAAUUCACCUGGUUUAAAAUUUAGCAUCCAUGAUACGGCACUAUACCUGACUAUAGUUAUGGAAUUUCUCAACCAACUAUUUGAUUUGGAGUCUCAACUCAGUUUGCAAUCAAUAGCAUGAUAGGCAUUAGAGUUUAAGUCAAGUCCUGCGUUUAAAGACAUUUUUUUGCGGAUAGAAAUAAUUGUAUAUUCCUUUAACGUGUCCAGCUUCUUGUUUAGUUUAGUAAUAAGAACCUGACAGCUUUCUCAUGGCUGAUCAUUUAUACUGGGAACAGUUCAUUGCAUGUCGAGUUUGAGACAAAGUCAGGAAAGUCUCUAGGAUUAACAAGUAGUUUAAAAGACUUCUAAGUCCAUAUGUAUGUAUGAGUUAGUAUGUAAUGUGGCCCUCUUACUUUAUUUGGUUUACAAUUGAAUAUGUAAAUUAACGAACACUGGAUCCUCUAUUCAUAUCUCAAAUAUUUUCUGAUUUGGUUAGACUUUAUUUGGUUUAUCAUACCUAUGAUGCAAAUGAAAUGAUGUUGUUAUUGACUUCCAAUAAGUGGUAUGAACAGUUGUUAUAUUGUUCAUACCUUGAAACUGAGUUGAUUUCUAUGACAUAGUAUUAACAGUGUACUUCUAUGACAUAGCAUUAACAGAAUUUCAGUAACAAAGCAUGCUCUAUAUAAUUUGCUAUAUAUAUAGUUGUGCACUUGAAGUUUAUGAUAUGUAGAAUGUGAUUUUUACUAGGAAGAUAGUUCUAUGACAUAGUAUUAACAGUAUACAUUUUUUUUUCUUCUUGUAGAGGCAUUUCCUUUUGCUUUUGCGAUUAUUUCUAGUGAAACUGUGGACAAUUGGCGGUGGUUUCCGCAAAGGAUAUUGGAUGUCUUGUUAGGCUUUUUUGGGUUUUUUUUUGUUGAGUUUUUUGUAUGAAAUGGUAUUAACAAUGUUUUUCUAUGAGAUGAUAUUAACAAUAUACUUCUAUGACAUGGUAUUAACAAUGCACUUUGGGCUUGCUGGGCUUGUUUUGGCUUUUUUUUUAGUUUUUUGUAUUGGGCUUGUUUUAAGUUAAUCAGUGGCAGUUAUGUAAUUUAUAGGAACUUCAACACUCAUUUCUAUUUUAGUAAAUGAGUUUUUGGUGUGUUUCUAAAGUGCAUUCCAUGUGGGUUUUUUUUAUAAUAUCAGCCCUUAUUUUGGGUAUAUUACUAAAGCUCCCGUAAUUUAAUUGAAGAUGAUGACUUUGAGGAAGAUGUUGAAUCUUGUUUUGUUCCAGAUUCUGUUGGAAGUUGAUGACAUUGAGGAAGCAUUGAAUCUUUUGGAUCAAGCCAGUUCAGAACGCAAUAAACUUGAUACCUUGCUAUUUAAUACCAUUCUUGAAAAACCUGUGAAAAGGUAUCUCAUAAGAUCAAAAGAGCAGUACGGUUCUCGAUAUACAUGAUUAUAAUUUGAUCAGCCACAAAAAUUGUGGUUGCAUUAUUCGUUAGUAAUAUAUAUAUUUUUUCUCCCCUGCAAUGAAUGUCAGGAAGUGAUUGAGUGGAUGCACCAACAGAAAGUCCAGCCAGAUCCAGUGACCUGCCAUUUUGUUUUCACUGCAUAUUCCAACAGUGGUUUUCACAGCACGGCCAUGGAAGCACUGCAGGUUUUGAGUAUGCACAUUAUAUGUGAAGAAGAUGGCAGCUUUCCAGAAAAGGCAGAAUUUGAGGAUGACUUCAUCUUUGCUGAAGACAUGGAAGCUGAAUCACGAAUAGUACAGCUUUUUAAAGAUUCUGAAGAGAACCUUGCUGUUGCCCUUUUGAAUCUAAGAUGGUGCGCCGCGCUUGGUUUCCCAAUUUCAUGGUCACCUAAUCAAAGCCCAUGGUCCAGAAGACGGUCAUCUAACUACACCGCCAGGAAAGGAGCCACCUAAUCAUGAGAUAUAUAUAUAUAGGUGGCAUUAUGACUCCAGUGAGUUUCCCUUUAUUAUUAUUAUUAUUUUUUGUUGUGGUCGAACGAAGUGUAAGGCCUCCUCAGGGAGGAAGGGGAGAGGGUGAGAGGCACAGAUGAGGUCUUGAUGAGGGUGUUAAAUACCUAGUGCAACUAACUAAUGUUGAAUGAAAAAAGAAAGACCUCCGAUGUAUUAGAUUUGUAUUAGGUGAUGCCCUUUUAUCUUUUUUGUUUCAUUACGUUAUUUUGUAAGUUACUGCUUGUAUAUUUAAAAGGUGAAAUCAUGCUGCAGCUCUCAAACAAAAUCAACCGUGCCUGGUAGCAGGAGGAGGCAUGUUUCCGCAAGGGAGGAGAAUUUCUCUACAGCUUAGAAUGAGUUGCUCUCUCUCUAGGGAUUUAUCAUUCACAAUUUAUGGAUUAAACGACAUUACAAAUUAUAGUUGUCGAGUUUUCAUAUUUUUGCAUGAAAACGAUAAUUGGAUUAAUUAACAAGAUGAAUGUUUACAUCUCUCAAUUUAAACAACUAAACUAUCACUCAAUCAUUAACUAAGUACAACCAAAAGAUGAAUAAUGAAGGGAAUUAACCUCAUUCUUGGCAGAUAUCUGAAUUUAAUUCAUAUCAUGACAAUACAAACUGCUUUCACAAGACGGCACCAAUUUCAAAAGCCAUAAGGAAAUUUGAGAGUUACAAUUACCUAAAUUCAUCACAUGUACAACUGAGUCACUUGUAUAAUCAAAGUCAGGAUGUCUAAUCAGUUUCUUCUUUUAAUCACUGCAUAUCCAUGAAGGAAAAAUAAGAAACAAAACUGAAUGUUAUUAUCAUGUGAACAUACCAACAACAAAACAAUGUUAGGAUCAAGGGCUCAUCAUCUAAUACAUACAUACCACUUUCUUGGUGACCUGUUGUUGCACAAUCACAAUCAAGCCAUAAGAAUUUUUAAUGGGGACCCAAUCUCCACUGACCAAACCCUUAAAAAGAAUAGUCUUCAGAAUCAUCUGAAAAAGAAAAAUAAACGAGCUGAGGUUGGUUGCCAUUUGAAUGAAAGUGUGAAUGCAAAAGAAAGAAAUUAGUUAGAAAAACGCACAAAUGCUUAUCUCUGGGAUGUGAGCAAUCUUGGACCAGUCCUCGCCUGUUUCUUUCUGGUAUUUUUGCUUUAAGAUGGGGCAAUUCUCAAUUAUCAACUUUUUUAAUGAGGCGAGGCAAAGAAGCCCUUCUGGGAGUGAUGCCAAAUUAGGGCAAGCCCAUAUCCCAAGCAACUGAAGUGAUUUAAAGUUGCCCAUCCCUUCUGGUAGUGAGGCCAAUUUCGUGCAAUCCGAAAUUCUGAGAUUAACAAUAUUUGUGAGAGAAUGAAACCAACUCGCAAACCUCGCACCCAUAUAGAACUCCAGCGUUAAAUCUUUUAGACUUGAAUGGGGCUGCAGCGCUUCCAUUGACUUAAUAAUUACAUCACUCUCCUCCUCAACCGCAUCACUAUUUUCUCUUUCGAUGUGCAUCCAAUGUAAAGUCAAUGAAUAGAGAUGUCGUUUCUCCUUCAAAAUUGCAUCAUCAUAAUUCAAUUCUGACAUCAUAUCUUUCUUGUGCCUCAAAUUUCUGCUAUUCAACUUUCCUCUUAAAUCCUUCAGCCUCCCUAACUCAUUAAGCCCUGCACGAUCCCUCAACAUGGAAUUGUCUAUGCUCAAAACAAAUCUACUCAAAGUACGAAGACAAAUCAAUUCACCCAAUCCACGAGGAAUCCAAGCCAAUUGAUAACAUUGUCUCAAAAUGAGAUGCCUCAAGUUGAUCAAUUUAUUGAUAUCUCAAGGCAAUUCCACAAGAGAUUCACAUCUUGACAGAUUUAGUGUUUCCAAAUUUUGAAAUUUGACUAUCCAAUUUGGAAGUCUCACAAUGGCAUUAACACUAAGAUCAAGAUAUCUUAAAUGUUUCAUUUUCCUAAGACAUUUUGGCAAUUUUGGAAUUCGCAAACCAUUCAAACUCAAUAUACGCAAUGACUUCAAAUUUAAAGCAAUUGUUGCACAAAAUGACUUAUGCAAUGGCCUAUGGAUUGACUUCAUGAAUUUAUUCCUCCACUGAUCUUGGCGUAGGAGAAGAAAAGUCCUUAGCUUAUUUGAUUCCAGCAAGGAUGUUGGUAUUUUCGAUUCCGAUUCUGAAUCCGAUUCCGAUUCCGAUUCCGAAAAAUCAACAUCAAAAUCGAAAGAUACAUGAAGAAGACGUUUUGCAUCAAAAUCAGUCUUAUUGCGAUCUAUUAUUCUGCUUCCCUCCCCUGCCACUUUAACAGCAAGUUCAUUCAUGAGAUCAUGCAUUUUACAGCUUCUUAUUAUACCAAACUCAUCUUUUUCUUCUUCUUGGAAAAAAGAUCUCCAAACUAGUUCGUUAUAAUAUUCAUAACCAACAUCUUCCAAGCACUCAUUAGGAUUUGAAGACUUAACGAACCCUUGUGCCACCCACAACCUAAUUAAUUUCUCUACGGGAAUCUUAUAAUCAGGCGGGAACAAACUACAAUAAGCAAAACAAUGUUUCAAAUGUGAUGGGAGAACAUCAUAACUCAGCUGAAGUGUUGGAAAAAUAUCAUUUUCUUCUUGCCUUAUUGUUGAAAGCUUGUUAUUCUUGAAAGCCGACCACUCAGUUUCUGGAUCUCUAGUGUACAACAUCCGUCCUAUGGUCCUUAUAGCAAGCGGAACCCCCUUACAUUUUCUAGCAAUCUCCUCCCCAAGGGCCUUAAUGGUUGAACUCGUUGGCUCUUUUCCAUCUUGGAAUGCCAUUUUCUUAAACAAAAACCAAGACUGCUCUUCACUUAAACCCCUUAAGUUAUAUGGUUUAGAUGUGUCUGUUAUUUUUGCAACUUUUUCACUACGAGUAGUUAUUAGUAUUUUACUACCUUUUCCACCACCCAUCAACAAGUUUUGCAAGCCAAACCAUUUUUCACGAUUAUCAUUCCAUACAUCGUCCAACACAAGGAGGUAUCUCUUCCCAUCUAUUAUUUUCCUCAGUUCUUUUUGCAACAGAUCAAUCUCAAGGCUUUUGGCUAUGUUAUUAGUUGCAGAUUGAAUGAUUUGCUUAACAAGUAUAUACAGCUCAAAUACAUUUGACACACAUAUCCACAUUUUCAGCUCAAAAUAAGUUUGGACCUCUAGAUCGUUGAAUACGAGUUGGGCAAGUGCAGUUUUUCCCAAUCCUCCAAAUCCGACUAUGGAAAUGAUUGAUACAUUCUCUUCAGAGAUGGUAUCAAACAAGAGUUGUUUAAUUGCAUUUUUAUCUUCAUUUCUCCCUAUAAUAGUUUCCGUAGGGGCAAAAGAGUGAGUUACCCUUCUAAAUCGUGUAUCUUCACGACUCACUUCUAAGUGAAAGUUUCUACGAGAUGCAAUCACAUUAAGUCUCUCCUUAAUACUUUUAAUCUUAUGACCCAUCUUUAGCCGAAAAGCAAGCUGGUUUGAGCUAGAGAAGAAGAUGCAUACCUGCUUUAACACGUGAUUAUUUCCAGGCAUCAUUUGUCUCCACUGUGCUUCAGCAUAAAAUUCAUCUAGCACGUCAUCAGCUUCAUCAACAACAUCUUCUAGGCUUUGAAGCCACAAUUUGACUGCAUGAGUCGCUUGCUUUUGCUCUGCAUCAAGAAGAACAGCUUGGAUUUGGGCAACUGUCUCCUGAAGCUUCAGGAGCUCAUCUUUGACACCCCAAAUCAAUCCCAUCUCUUGGAAUGCACGGGAGGUCAACCUGUCAAUGAUCCCUUCUGCAAAGUUGAAGAGGACUCCUUCUGCCAUUGCCUUGAUGCAGAAUAAAAGCAGAGGUGAAUUAGUUACAAUAACUUCAAGUGUUUGUUUCGAAUGGUGAUCGUGGAAAAUGGAUCAUCAUGGCUAGUUUUUAUAUAAGGCCCUGUAAUUGGCAUCUUUCAAGUAAAUAUUGGUUAGGCAAGGCAUAUGAUUCUAGCCUACUAUGUAAGUCUAAAGAAUUUGUUGCUAGCAAGCAAAGAUUGGUAAUAGAAUUAGGAUAACACUCGAUCUCAAGUAAAGCAUUUGGAGAUUAGUGAAGGACAUAUGCCUUGCCUCCCUUAAUUAGCAUAUGAUUCUAACCUAAACUUCCUACAAGUUUGUACCACCCAUAUACUAUUCCCUAAAAGAUGCACCACAUGACCAUACUUAUUUAAGCUUCCUUCUCAUUGGAGAAAUAUAGAGAAACUUUACCGCGUAUUGAAGUAAAGAAUAAAUCCUACCUAAAACUUAUUUCUCUGUCUGUGGGUCGGAUCUGAUUCUUGCCACUGGCCUAAGAUUGCUCACAUCCAAAUACCAUGUACGUUGAUAUUUAUACGUCUAAAAAUCAAGAUUCAAAGCUUGGUGCUUCCGUUUGCUAACUUGUUCUACUUAACACUUGUUGGACUUAUCAGAUAUGCCAACCUCACUUGUUGAUUUUCUUCUUUGUUGAUUCAUAUGACAUACGAUCGGUUCCACCCAAAAACUAAAGACAUACCAUCUGGUACAUCUCAACCAAAGAUGAUUUGGUAGGAAAAUAUGGCACAUUAUGGUAGUAUGGUUACGUGGUACAUCUUGUGCAUGCAUUAUAAUAUGAGUGGACGACAACGUUUAUUUUCCUCCCUUUUAGGGAAUAGUAUCAAUAAAUAUCCACUUAUAUUAUAGCACGUGUACAAGAUGUACCACGUACGUAUCACUCUAGCUCUAGAGAGAAUUAAUUAAUUUCCAACGGCUUCUUUGUUUUCAAAAGUAACCACAUUCUAAGGCACUCUAUAACAAGUGUAUUACUUGUUUAUCCAUCUUUAUUCCUCCAACAAUUAACCAUAAAUGAAACAACAAUUUCACUAUUUUGGUAAUAAUACUUUUUUUUAAAAUACAAAACAAUAUCGAUCAAACAAAGUAAGGAAUUUUGGAGGAAGAACCAAAUUGGGUCAGCCCAACAUUGCUUUGUUGCUGAAAGAAAUUUUUAAGUGGGGAGUUCACUUUAAAUCCGCUGAUCAACUUGAGCUUGAGGAGGUUCUUGUCCCAAGGUUGCUUUCAUGUUUAUGAAAGGGGACUUGUGAAUUGAUAUUCAUAUUAAAGCACGCCAAUUACCAAUUAUUUAUUUGGGUAGUUGUUAAUUAAUUUAGAAAAGUGGAAAGUUUGCUAGGUUAAUAAGAGUAAAUCAGGAAAAAUCUUAUUGAAGUAUUGUUUCUCUCUCAUAAUAAUGUUAUCAAAUAAAUACAAAAAUAAAGAAUUAAUCAUAGUUAAACCCAUGGACAUGUGUCAACUUUUGAGAGGGAUAGUGAGGAUACACCUAGGGUUAAGGUGGUGAGCAAAAAUGCACCCUCUUUUUAAUAAUAGAUUACGUAUUUAAUUUAGUUAAUCUGCUAUACACUUUGUUUUUUUUUUAAUGUUUUAUACAUACGAGUAUUUAAUAAGUAAUAAAUAACAAAUAUAUAUUAUACUAUUUAUUUGUAAGUAUCAUGCUAUUUUUUCACUAUAAUAUGUAUUUUCAUAUAUUUUUUAUUAUGCUUUGAAAUGCCUAAAAAGCUUAUGCUUCGAGGCUUACGCCUUGUCUCACGGGAGGUAACGCUUUAGCGAUUUAAAACACUGAUUAGGAUAUGUUUUUUUGUUUUCUUAUUUUCGUCAUCUUAUGAAAGUUUCAUCUGUUUUAUGCUCAGUUUUACUUCUCCAGCGCUUGGAAGCUUUUUUCAUGUUUGUCUCCAGUAAAUUCAAAUAUUGUUGCAUGAACUAUGCAGGAUCAACUUGAACGAGCAGUGCAGAUGUUGGCUAAAAUGAAACAAUUAAAAGUUGUGCCUGAUAUUAGGACAUACGAGCUGCUGUUUUCGUUAUUUGGUAACGUGAAUGCCCCAUACGAAGAGGGCAACAUGUCGUUGUUGGCGUGACUUGUGGAUAUUGACUUACUUUCCUUACACACCAAGAAUUCCUAUUAUAAUUGUAAUUGAUUUACUUUAAUUCCUGAUUUCCUACUGCAAAUAGAUUUAGGAAUUUAUUAUUUACUUGCCCAUUCAGGUUUCGUUGUAUUAUAAAUAUAACCUCCUACAAGGAGAAGAAUACACAGAAAAUUCCCACAAACAAAUAUUCUCUCAUAGUUUUCAUAUUUUAGCAUGGUAUCAGAGCGGCAAUCUUGGAAUUGCUGACUCUAGUUUCAAACCCCCGCCGCUGCUAUGGGGGUUGAUGAUUUUUUCAACCCUCAUGGAGGUAGCACCACCGACUCCUUCUCUCAUUCUCCACCAACCAUCGUUGAGUUGAGUGCCCAGAUGGCUCCGCUCCUACAGAUGCAGAAUUUGACCCCGAACCCGAUCCAGAAUCAGGAUCCUCUUUUGACGACCCCGACUAUGACGACGAUGACCCCGACCCCGACUCCGAAGACGACCCCGACCCCCACUCCGAUGAUGACCCCAACCCCGAAUUUGUCUCUGAUUCAGACCCUGAUCCCGAUUUCGACUCCGACUCCGGUCCCGACUCAGGCUCAGAUUCCGAUCCCAAUUCCUACUCAACCUGUAUCCUAUGCAUCUUCCGCUGCACAGAUUAUGACUUCUAGACUAACGACCCCGACACAUGGACCAGAUUGCGCAUAUUGUGGUGAUCCGAGACACACUUGUGAGACUUGUUUUAAAUCGCAUGGCUACCCCAAUUGGUGGGCUACUCUUAUAGAUCGAGGACAAUGCAAUAUGACUAGUAAUGGUACUGGUUAUGGAUUCCAUACUUCCGAUAAGAUUGAUUCCAGGAGCUGGAUAAUUGAUUCUGGUGCAACUGAUCAUAUGACGUUUGAUCCUGAUGACUUUCUGAAUACUACACAACCUCGACGAACCUGUAUUGCAAAUGCCAAUGGUGUUACUUAUCCUGUGACAGGGGCUGGCACUGUUGCACUCUCAUCCUCUCUCACACUGUCUAAUACUUUACUUGUUCCAUCUUUAUCCACUAAAUCGUUGUCAGUUAGUCAGCUUACUGAACAAUUGAAUUGUUGUGUACUCAUUUACCCGAGUUUUUGUUUGCUUCAGGAUAUUCACACUAAGGAGAUUCUUGGUCGUGGUACUAAGAGAGGGGGGCUAUAUUAUGUCGAUGACUUCAGUCCCGGCAUGGUUAACAGCGUGACACAUCCCUUUGAUAGCAAACAAAAGCAAAUCUGGUUGUGGCACCGUCGAUUGGGACAUCCUUCUUUUAGUUAUAUGAAGCAUCUUAUACCAGAUUUAUUCUCAGGUUUCAAGGACUCUGACUUCACAUGUGAUACUUGUAUUUUGGCCAAGAGUCACCGUGUGCCUUACCCGUUGAGUACGAACAAGUGUACUACUCCAUUUAUGUUAAUUCACUCUGAUGUCUGGGGACCUUCUCCUAUCACUGCUCCUUCUGAUGUUCGAUGGUUUGUGACAUUCAUCGAUGAUUGUACACGGAUGACAUGACUUUAUUUGCUGAAGAAUAAAAACGAAGUAUUUUCCUGUUUUCAGUCCUUCCACAAACAGAUGAAAACUCAGUUUAAUGCUCAAAUCCAGAUUCUUCGCUCAGACAAUGGUGGAGAAUUUGUCAAUGAUGACUUUCAGACUUACUUCCAACAACAUGGAAUUAUCCAUGAGACGACUUGUCCUCAGACACCACAACAAAAUGGUGUUGCUGAACGGAAGAAUCGACAUCUUCUUGAAACCGCUCGAGCACUUCUGAUUGGCGCUCAUGUUCCUCGCAAUCACUGGGAUGAUGUUAUUGUCACCGCAGUUCAUCUGAUCAACCGCAUGCCUUCUGGUGUACUGACCUUUAAAACUCCCUUACAGGUGCUUGCACAACACAGACCUCUGCCUUCUGUUUUGGUACUCACACCCCGAAUCUUUGGAUGUGUGGCUUUCGUUCAUCUCCACAAAAAUCUACGUAGCAAACUUGAUCCAUGUGCGCUUCGUUGUGUUUUUGUGGGUUAUGCCACUCAUCAGAAAGGCUACCGCUGUUAUCACCCUCCUACCCAACGAACCUAUGUCAUUUUGGAUGUGACCUUUAUGGAAUCUGAGCUGUUCUUCCAUGACCCAUCAUCCAAUUCUACACUUAAGGGGGAGAUACGAAGUGAAGAGCAGAGUUGGAGCAACUUGGAAAAUAAAGAAAUUCUCCUUUGUACAGAAAUGAUUGAUCAUUCCAAGUCUGGAGCACGAGAUUACUCUCUGUCGAAAAGCGACCAAUCGCCAAUUCAUAACGAUCAAUUGCCUGACCCACCUAAUCCAUGCGAAGAUAUUUCUGAUCCGAGUCUCACACCUACAGACAAUACAGAACAACAAGAUGAAGACCCCCCUCUAACUCAACAGUACCAACAGACCAAUCUCCUGAGAAUAUCCUUGAGGUAACUACUCCUACUAGACUUGUGCAUUUAGAUGAUAAAACUAUUGGAUAUCAAUUACCUUUCAGGCAAAAUCGUGGGAAGCCACCAAACCGUUAUUCACCUGAUAUUGGCAAGACAUCCAAGUAUCCAAUUGCAAAUCAUGUAUCCACUGAGAAGCUGUCUAAACCACUCAAGGUUUUUGUGCAUCAGUUCUCUGCUAUCCAUAUUCCAACCAAGGUCUCUGAAGCAUUGAAAGAUCCUAAGUGGGUCCAAGCUAUAAAAGAUGAGAUGAAAGCCCUUGAGAAAAAUCAGACUUGGAUAUUGGAGACUAUACCCCGAGGAAAAAAGACUAUCGGAUGUAGAUGGGUGUUUACUAUAAAACACAAUGCAGAUGGAUCUAUCGAGCGAUACAAGGCAAGACUUGUAGCAAAAGGGUACACACAGACCUAUGGUAUAGACUAUGAAGAAACCUUUGCUCCAGUUGCAAAGUUAAACACCGUCAGAGUCUUAUUGUCCCUUGCAGCUAAUUUGGAUUGGCCACUACACCAAUUUGAUGUAAAGAAUGCUUUUCUACAUGGCGAACUCACGAAGGAGGUGUACAUGGACAUUCCUCCUGGAUAUAAUACUACUCAGACUGGAACAGUUUGCAAGUUACGAAAAGCAUUGUAUGGAUUGAAACAGUCACCACGUGCAUGGUUUGGACGGUUCACCAUGGCAAUGAAGAACAAUGGUUUCAAACAGUGCAACUCAGAUCAUACUCUGUUCUUGAAACAUCGAAAAGGGAAGGUAACAGCAUUAAUAAUCUAUGUUGAUGAUAUGAUUAUUACUGGAAAUGAUAAACAGGUAAUAUCACAGCUACAAGACUAUCUAGCUACGGAGUUUGAGAUGAAGGAUCUAGGUGGACUCAAGUAUUUCUUGGGAAUUGAGGUGGCUCGAUCGCAGCAAGGCAUAUUUCUCUCUCAAAGGAAAUAUGUCUUAGACUUGUUGACAGACACAGGAAUGCUAGAUUGUAAACCUGCGGACACUCCUAUUGUUCAGAAUCAUCAUCUUGGAGAAUAUCCGGAUCAAGUUUCAACUAACAAAGAAAGAUACCAAAGGUUAGUGGGAAGAUUGAUCUAUUUGUCACAUACUCGACCAGACAUUGCUUAUGCGGUGAGCGUUGUCAGUCAAUUUAUGCACUCUCCAAGUGAAGACCAUAUGAAUGCAGUUCUUCAGAUACUUAGAUAUUUGAAGUUUGCACCUGGAAAAGGACUUAUGUUCUCAAAGCAUGGUCAUCUAAAUAUUGAUGGUUAUUCAGAUGCAGAUUGGGCAGGUAAUGUAACAGAUAGAAAAUCCACAUCAGGUUACUUCACAUUCGUGGGAGGUAAUUUGGUGACAUGGAGAAGCAAGAAACAAAAUGUAGUAGCUUUAUCCAGUGCAGAAGCCGAGUUCAGAGGCAUGACUAAAGGGAUUUGUGAACUUCUUUAGUUAAGAAAGUUGCUUACUGAACUUGGGUAUAAACCUACAUCCACAAUGAAUCUCUUUUGUGACAACAAGGCUGCUAUAGCCAUUGCACAGAAUCCGGUUUAGCAUGAUCGUACUAGACAUGUUGAGGUGGAUCGACACUUCAUCAAACAAAAGCUUGAGGCUAAAGUGUUUCAGUUUCCUUUUGUGAAAUCCGAGGAUCAAUUGGCGGAUAUUUUGACAAAGAUGAUUUCCAGUAAAGCAUUCCACAAUUCACUAGAUCAGUUGGGCAUUGGCGACAUCUAUGCACCAACGUGAGGGGGAGUGUUGGCGUGACUUGUGGAUAUUGACUUACUUUCCUUACACACCAAGAAUUCCUAUUAUAAUUGUAAUUGAUUUACUUUAAUUCCUGAUUUCCUACUGCAAAUAGAUUUAGGAAUUUAUUAUUUACUUGCCCAUUCAGGUUUCGUUGUAUUAUAAAUAUGACCUCCUACAAGGAGAAGAAUACACAGAAAAUUCCCACAAACAAAUAUUCUCUCAUAGUUUUCAUAUUUUAGCAGUUGUCACAGGUGGAUGCUGCUAAACGCAUUAAUGCUAUAGAAAUGGAUAUGGCAAGAUAUGGUAUUCAGCACAGUUAUUUAAAGACGUACGUCAUAUGCAUCAUUACUUUUUCGAGGAUAUUGUUUCCAUGCCCCUUAGGCCCGGUAUCUGUAGCAUUUCCUUGAGCUUGCACAUCAAAGCUUGUGGAAAUAUCAAAAAAGUAUUGAUAUUUUUUGCAUAAAUAUUGAUUGAUUAUUUGAGAUCAAUAUACAACUUGUGUUGUCUUCUAGAAGCUUAUUUGCUUGGAAACAGUAAAACUUGUGUUCUUUGUACCAGCUUCCUUUCUGCAACAUGCCACCAAGGGGUCUGUCGUUAUUUUAUUUAUUUUUCCUUAUCUAGAACCCUACUCUAGCAUUCUUUCCUUUUCUUUUCCUUCUUUUCCCGUCCCACUAGCCUCAUCUAUAACAUUCAAUUUUUGUUUUUCCAGUUGAAAGCGCUUGGAGCAGAGGGGAUGAUAAGAGAGCUGAUCCAGUAUUUGGACGUUGCAGAGAAUAUAUUUUGUCGUAAUAACAUUUAUCUGGGAACACCUAUUUAUAAUACGGUGCUGCAUUCACUUGUUGAGGCUAAGGAAGUAGGUGUUUUCAUCACCAUUGGUUUUCCUUUCAUUUGCAACUUCAUGAUAUGUGAAAUAUUGGACCAGUGUUCAUCUACUUUUCUCUUUCUGAUUUCAUGCAGAAUCAAAGGGCAAUUAAGAUAUUUAAAAAUAUGAAGUCAUUUGGUUUCCCGGCAGAUGCUGCGACUUAUCAUAUAAUGAUUGAUUGUUGUAGCAUUCUAGGAUGUUACAGAUCUGCUUGCGCAUUGGUCUCCAUGAUGUUGCGAGAUGGCUUUUAUCCACUAACAGUGACUUACACCAUUCUCAUAAAGGUAGCUUUAAUAUUAUGAUUACUCAGGCUGAAUUAUCAUGCAUCUUGGGAAACUGCUACCAUUUGUGUAUGUGAUCGAAAAGUGUAAUUUUUCCAACUCUUGUUGUGCAAACUAGUCAUUUUAGUUCUGCUUUGUUUACAUAAAAACCCCUUCCUUCAUCCUUCUUCAUGCUUUUUUAUUAUUAUUAUUUUUUUCUGACUAGAGUAUUUGCAAUAUAUGAAUGCACUUAAUUUCUUCUUCUUCUUUCUUUUCUUCUUUUUUUUUUUUUUUGGGUCUGAAAAUGCACGUCAUUUCAAGUUGAAUAGAUAAGCUAUAGAAAUUAUUCGAUAGCCCAUUGCAUGAUGACAUUUUUGGAUGAAGUAAGAACUCUUACAAAAAGAGAAUUUUUUGUUGUCCUCAUAAGUUUCAUUUAUGGAAAGUUCAAAUAUUUAUAAAGAUAUUUAAAUGAAGACAAUUAGUGAGUUCAUUUUUUAAAAAUGAAAAAGAAAACAGAAGGGAAGUUACAUUUUUGUCUUCUCUGAAAUAUAAGUAAUUUAAUUAAAGAUGAUGACUUUGAGGAAUAUCCUAAGAAGGUUUGAGCAAACAUAUCGUUUCAUUUUAAAUGAAACUCAUAAGCAUUGAAUCUUUUGGAUCAAGCCAGUUCAGAACGCAAUGAACUUGAUACCUUGCUAUUUAAUACCAUUCUUGAAAAAGCCUGUGAAAAGGUAUCUCAUAAGAUGGUUCUCGAUAUACAUGAUUAUAAUUUGAUCAAGCACAAAAAUUGUGGUUGCAUUAUUUGUUAGUAAUAUAUUUUUCUUUUCCCCUGCAAUAAAUGUCAGGAAGUGAUUGAGGUAGUUGAAUUUGUCGUUGAGUGGAUGCACCAAGAAAAAGUCCAGCCGGAUCCAGCGACCUGCCAUUUUGUUUUCUCUGCAUAUGCCAACAGUGGUUUUCACAGCACGGCCAUGGAAGCACUGCAGGUUUUGAGUAUGCGCAUGAUAUGUGAAGAAGAUGGCAGCUUUCCAGAAAAGGCAGAAUUUGAGGAUGACUUCAUCUUUGAUAGAAUUCAUAGAUUUUGGAUGUGUUUGGGAGAGAAAUGAGAGAGCGUUGCUCUCUGUGUAAGAACAGAAAAAAGAAAUUGAAGAAAAAAUGAAGUCAGCUAUUUUUCAUUGUAUACCAAAGAAAAAAGAUAUAUCCGUUGAGGAGAGAGAAGAGAGAUUCUUCUCUAACUGCCUCAAUACAAAACUCAAUCCUAGCCAUUGAACUAUCAUCCUAUAAGAUGAUUACACUUGUCUCAAUCUAAACCCUCACUUAAAGAGCCACUUGGAUUCUAAUCCAAGGGUCCUUAUUACAAGCAGCAGAAACUAAAGUUUUUAAAAGAAAAUCUAAACAACAGAAACAUUUAAGUGAACUGGAAAUAGGCGGCAAAGAGGAUUUUUUUUUUUUUUGGCUCAGCUCAAAGGGUUACACAUCAACACUCCCUUCUAACCCUUUGACUGAUUUAACUCCAAGCAAAUCUCUGAGGUACACAAAACGUUCCUUGGAUAAAGCCUUGGUUAGAAUGUCUGCAAUUUGAUCUUCAGAUUUGCAGUAGAUUAGCUCAAUUUCCUUUGCUUGGAUAGCUUCUCGGAUGAAAUGAAAUUUCCUGCUUAUGUGCCUGGAUUUCUGAUGAAAGACAGGAUUCUUUGCCAUUGCUAUGGCAGAUGUGUUAUCACACAGAAUUGGUGUGCCUUCCACUUGCUCCUCUCCAAAAUCUUCAAGUAUAAACCUUAGCCAUUUAGCUUGUGAUGUUGCUUCAGCAGCACUCACAUAUUCUGCUUCAGCAGUAGACAGAGCUACUGUAUUUUGUUUGAUUGAGGCCCAAGAAAACAUGCCAGAUCCCAGAGUGAACACAUAUCCUGAUGUACUUCUUCUGUCAUCUUCACUGCCUGCCCAGUCACUGUCACAGUAGCCAAUUAAGGUAGCUGCCUUGCCCUUUUUAUACUCAACUCCAUAUUCAAGUGUGCCUUGAACAUACCUCAACACUCUUUUGGCUGUUCCCAUGUGCUUUCUAGUAGGAUUAUGCAUAAAUCUAGCAAGCAGACUUGAGGCAAACAUGAUGUCUGGUCUUGUAGCUGUCAGAUACAGCAGGCUGCCUACAAUCUGUCUAUAUUCACUCUCAUCUGCCAUCUCACUUCCAUCUUCUUUGCACAGCCUUUCAUUUGCUACCAAGGGGGUUGCCACUGAUUUACAGCCUUUUAAACCAAAUUUCUCAACCACUUUCAUUGCAUACUUCUUCUGAUGGAGAAAUAUGUAUUUCUCAGUCUGCACAACUCCCAUGCCAAGAAAAUGAUAGAGUAGCCCGAGAUCAGUCAUCUCAUAAUGCCUCAUCAUGUCAUUUUUGAACUCUUCAAGCAUUUUUACACAACUUCCAGUAUAAACAAUAUCAUCCACAUAGAGAGAAACAAUAAGAAUACCUGAGCCUUCAUCAGUUUUAAUGUAAAGUGUAGCUUCACUUGGACUUUUCUUAAAUCCUGCCUUGUUGAAGUAGGAAUCUAUCUCAUCAUACCAUGCCCUUGGGGCUUGUUUUAAUCCAUACAAGGCCUUGUUCAGCUUAUACACUUUGAUUUCUUCAUUCUUUUUCUCAAAACCCUGUGGCUGCUCCACAUAUACUUCUUCUUUUAGAACUCCAUUCAGAAAUGCAGACUUGACAUCCAGUUGGUAUAACUGCCAUUCCUUCUGUGCAGCCAGAGCUAUCAAAGUCCUAAUGGUAUCUAGCCUUGCCACUGGGGCAAACGUCUCAUUAUAAUCGAUUCCAGGUUUUUGUGAGUAGCCUUUAGCUACUAACCGAGCCUUAUUCUUCUGCACAGUGCCAUCUAGAUUAAGCUUGGUCUUAUAGAUCCAUUUGACACCGAUAACAGGUUUGUUAAAAGGCCUUUCCACAAGCUGCCAAGUGUUAUUCUUCUCAAUCAUUUCUAGCUCAGCCUCCAUUGCCCUUCUCCAUGACUCAUCUAGAUCAGCUUCUUCAAAAUUCUCAGGCUCCAUAAUGCACAUAUUACAUUGAGCCAUAAUGUCAUUAAUGCUCUUCCAUUUCUUUGGUGUAUGAUCAAUAGCUUGAGAACUUCCUUCAAUGCUCUCAUCCUGCAGGGUAGGAUCUCCAUCUGCUUGUGUUUGUGUCUCCAAGCUUUGACUUGGUUCUUCUGGAGCUAUGACUUCUUCAUGUAUUUGCAGUGGUGCAAUCAAAUCUGGAUUUAGAGCAUAGUCUUGAUUUCCAGUAGGCACAAGCACAGUGAUUUCUCCUUCUCUAGCAUUCUCCCAUUUCCAUAAGCUUUCUUCAUCAAAUUUCACAUCCCUUGACAGAAUAAUCUUCCUAUUUCUUGGAUCAAAGAGUCUAUAUCCCUUUUCACAAAGACCAUAGCCCACAAAAAUACACUUGUGACUGUUUUCUUCAAGCUUAUGCCUUAAUGCAGAGGGAAUAAGCACAUGACAAGGAGAUCCAAAUAUUUUCAGGUGUGCAACUCCUGGUUUUCUGCCAGUGAAGGCCUCAAAUGGUGUUACCUUAUUGAGAGCCUUGGUAGGGCAUCUAUUCAACAAAUAGACUGCAGUAUUGACAGCCUCUGCCCAAAACUCAUAAGGGAUACCUUUCUCAUGCAGCAUUGACUUAGCCAUUUCAACCACUGUUCUAUUCUUCCUCUCAGCUACUCCAUUCUGCUGAGGGGAGUAAGCCACUGUUAACUGCCUUUGAAUGCCAGAAUCUUCACAGAAACUGAUAAACUCUCCUGACAAGAAUUCUCCACCCCUAUCACUUCUCAAACUCUUUAUUUUGAACCCACUUUGCAGCUCAGUCAUAGCUUUGAAUUUCAUGAAACACUCCAAUGCACUUGAUUUGUUUCUAAUGAAAUACACCCAAGACAUCCUAGUGUGAUCAUCUGUAAAUAGGAGAAAAUAUCUGUUUCCAGAGAGGGAUUCUGUUUUCAUUGGUCCACAGAUGUCUGUGUGAACCAAUUCCAAAGGAUUAGAAGCUCUCCAAGUUGAUUCCAAAGGGAAAGAAUCCCUAUGCUGCUUUCCUUGCAUACAUCCAUCACACACCACUGACAUUUGCUCCAAAUGGGGUAGUCCAUGAACCAUCCCUUGAUUCUCAAGCAGCUUCAUACUCCUUUCAUUUAAGUGCCCAAGUCUCUUAUGCCAUAUCUGCAAGCAAUGUGUAACACUUGCUUUUAGAACCAACUCACUGGCAGGCAUCAUUGUCAAUGGAAAGCAUCUGUUGUUUGUCAUUUGCACCUCCACAAUCAGAUUUUCCAUUGACUGAUCAUCAUAAAUUCUCACCAUAUUCUCUCCAAACACAAGAUGGUAGCCAUGUGCCAUCAUUUGCCCAACACUGAGCAAAUUUUCUUCAAGACCAGGUACAAGCAUUACUUCAUGAAUGUGCUUCUUACCAACCUUGGUUUUUAUCACCAAAGUUCCUUUUUCAGUAACUGAAACUACUUCUCCAGUCCCCAUCUUCACCUUAGAAGUCAAAUCCCUUUGAACAUUUACUAAAAGUCCCUCAUCUCCUGUCAUGUGAUUACUACACCCACUGUCUAUGUACCAAGAGUGAUUAACCUUUACAUCUGUUGCAGCAUUACAGACAUAGAAUAGUGUACCAAUUUCUUCCAUCUCAUUUGCAUAAUUCACCCUAUGUGCAUUCCUAUUUCCAUUGCAAUCUCGGACCAUAUGUCCAAAUUUUCCACAUCCAUGACAUUUAGGCUUGCCUUCAUACCAGCACUUGCCAUAAUGUAACUUGUCACAAUGCUUACAAGCUGCUAUGUUACCAUCAUUAGGCUUCCAAUGUUUUUGAAAGCUUUGAUUUCCAGGAGCACUUUUCUGAAAACUCUGAUUUUCAGAAAGACUCUCAUUCUUAGGCUUCUUUUCUUCUACAUUCAAACUAGCAAAGGCUCUUUCUGAAGAAUUCUCAGUGUGCCUAUCCAAUCUGAGCUCAAAGCUCUUCAAGGAAGCAACCACUUCUUGAACUUCCAGAGUUUCAAGAUCCUUUGAGUGCUCUAUCACAGAGCAUAUAGAAUCAUAGGACUUAGGCAGACUAAACAAUAGCUUCUGCACAAUUCUCUCCCUAGAUAACUCCUCACCAUAACUCUUCAUUUGAUUCAUCAUAUUAAACAAUCUAACCAGAUAGACAGAUAGUGAUUCACUAUCCUUCAUGCGAGCAUAUUCAAAUUCCCUACGCAACCCUUGCAAUUUAACAUUUCGUACCUGUUUAUCUCCUCUGAAUUCCAGUUUCAAUAUAUCCCAAGCUCCCUUCGAGGUCUCCUCAUUCACAAUCCUUGGGAAUAGCUGAUCUGAAACUGCGCUUUGGAUUAAUCCAAGUGCACGAGCAUCCUUCAUCAGAAUCUGAGCCACCAUGGACUUCUCAGUUUCUGCAGCCUCUUCUUUUUCUUUCUUCAUGCCUGAGUCAUCUAGCCCAUUCUCGACCAGAUCCCACAAACCGUGCGAUUUCAAAAUAGUUUUCAUUCGAAUACUCCAGAAUUCGUAGUUUUCUCCAUUAAAAACUGGUGUUCGAAGCUCAGCUGCUCCAGAUCCUGCCAUAUGAGACAUCUUGAUGCAAGAAUUCGCUACUUCGAUCUCCAAAUCAGCUCAACGAUAGCUCAGAUCGAGCUCGAUUUACUGUUCACAGAUCACGCCCAGCUCAAUCAAUCGAACCUGGCUCUGAGGCCAUGAUAGAAUUCAUAGAUUUUGGAUGUGUUUGGGAGAGAAAUGAGAGAGCGUUGCUCUCUGUGUAAGAACAGAAAAAAGAAAUUGAAGAAAAAAUGAAGUCAGCUAUUUUUCAUUGUAUACCAAAGAAAAAAGAUAUAUCCGUUGAGGAGAGAGAAGAGAGAUUCUUCUCUAACUGCCUCAAUACAAAACUCAAUCCUAGCCAUUGAACUAUCAUCCUAUAAGAUGAUUACACUUGUCUCAAUCUAAACCCUCACUUAAAGAGCCACUUGGAUUCUAAUCCAAGGGUCCUUAUUACAAGCAGCAGAAACUAAAGUUUUUAAAAGAAAAUCUAAACAACAGAAACAUUUAAGUGAACUGGAAAUAGGCGGCAAAGAGGAUUUUUUUUUUUUUUGGCUCAGCUCAAAGGGUUACACAUCAACAAUCUUUGCUGAAGACUUGGAAGCUGAAUCACGAAUAGUACAGCUUUUUAAAGAUUCUGAAGAGAAGCUUGCUGUUGCCCUUUUGAAUCUAAGAUGGUGCGCCGUGCUUGGCUUCCCAAUUUCAUGGUCAUCUAAUCAAAGCCCUUUUGAAGACUGUCAUCUAACUACACUGCCAGGUGGCAUUAUGACUCCAGUGAGUUUCCCUUUAUUAUUAUUUUUGGUUGUGGUCGAACGAAGCGUAAGGCCUCCUCAGGAAGAAGGGGUGAGAGGCACAGAUGAGGUCUUGAUCUUUUACCGCUGAUUUUUUAGAUUUGUAUUAGGCUAGGAUAUUUGAGAAAAUUAGGGGAUGCCCUUUUAUCUUUUUUGGUUCAUUACGUUAUUUUGUAAGCUACUGCUUUGUAUAUUUAAAAGGUGAAAUCGUACUGCAGUUCUCUAAACAGGAUCAACUGUGCCUAGGAGGAGGCGGCGGCAUGUUUUGUUGUUAAUUUAACAAAAAGCACAAAAAAGCAUUGAUAUUUUCUUUAUGCUUUUAUUCUUUAGCAAGUAUGCUUUGACCGCUAUCUUCUGUUGUCAUUGUACUUUUGUUAUGGUUCAAAUCAGUGAUACCGGUGCGGUAUGAAUCCGCCAGGGAGGAGGCAUUUUCUCCGCAGCAUAGAAUGAGUUGCUAUCUAGGGAGGGAGAGAAGGGUGCUGCUGGCAAGUUCUUUAAAUAUUCUCUUCCGAUCCACAUCUAGGGGUUGAUUUUAUCAUUCACAAUUUAUGGAUUAAACAACAUUACAAAUUAUAGUUGUUCACGACGAGUUUUCAUAUUUUUUUGUAUGAAAACGAUAAUUGAAUUAAUUAACAAGAUGAAUGUUAACAUCUCUUAAUUUAAACAACCAAAUUAUCACUCAAUCAUUAACUAAAGUACAACCAAAAGAUGAAUACUGAAGGGAAUUAACCUCAUUCUUGGCAGAUGAAUCUGAAAUUUAAUUCAUAAAUAUCAGCCAUCAUGACAAAAUACAAACUGCUUUCACAAUGUCAAAAGCCAUAAGGAAAUUUGAGAGUUACAAGUACAACUGAGUCACUUGUAUGAUCAAAGCCAGAAUGCCUAAUCAGUUUCUUCUUUUAAUCACUGCAUAUCCAUAAAAGAAAAAUAAGAAACAGAACCGAAUGUUAUUAUCAUGUGAACAUACCAACAACAAAACAAUGUUAGGAUCAAGGGGUCAUCAUCUAAUACAUACCUACCACAUUUUUGGUGACCUGCUGUUGCACAAUCACAAUCAAGCCAUAAGAGUUUUUAGUGGGGAUCCAAUCUCCACUGAACCAACCCUUAAAAUUCAUAACCUCAAUCUGAAAAAGAAGAAAAUGAACAAGUUGAGGUUGGUUGCCGUUUGAAUGAAAGUGUGAAUGCAAAAGAAAGAAAUUAGUUAGAAAAACGCACCAAUGAAUAACUCUGGGAUGUGAGCAAUCUUGGACCAGUCCUCACCUGUUUCUUUCUGGCAUCUUUGCUUUAAGAUGGGGCAACUCUCAAUUAUCAACCUUUUUAAUGAGACGAGGCAACGAAGCCCUUCUGGGAGUGAUGCCAAAUUAGGACAAUUUGAAAUACGCAGUCUCUGUAAGGAGAUGAGGCGACCCAUCCCUUGAUCUGGUAGUGAUACCAAAUUAGGACAAUGUUCAAUUUCAAGCUCCUCAAGUAAUGUGAGGUUUCCAAUCCCUUCUUCUGGCACAUAUUCUAUAUCCUCAACGCCCCUAAUCACCAGAGAUUUUAAUUUGUAAGAGGAAACAAAGGAGGAGGGAAGGACCUUCCAGCUGCAUUUAUGUAACCACAGUUCAUCAAGAUUUGGGUACAGCGGCAUGGAAGUUAGGUUAGGACAACGAUAUAUAGAUAAAAAAGAAAGACAAGGAAAUGAAGAAGCUGAAGCUGAAGCUGUUUCAUUCCUCCACCAUCCCUUGAGAUUAGGGCAAUCAAUUAGAUGAAGACUCUCUAAGGAGGGAAAGAAGGUCGUCGAUGGAGAAGCAGCUGACAUCAUCAUCACAUCACCGGCGAAGCCCUUGACCUUGUCUUCUGCAGAUAUGUGCUCCAAAUUCCUUAACCCGUGAAGAUCAAGACACUUAAGAAAAGGUAAAUGAUCCAACGGUGGAAGAUGUUGG
RNAcentral lists this long non-coding RNA (42101 nucleotides) under Prunus persica (peach). RNAcentral describes it as "long non-coding RNA (PPER_LNC001750)". Lineage: Eukaryota; Viridiplantae; Streptophyta; Magnoliopsida; Rosales; Rosaceae. The record is from RNAcentral.